RNAcentral lists this ribosomal RNA (540 nucleotides) under uncultured bacterium. RNAcentral describes it as "bacterial SSU rRNA". It matches the Rfam family "Bacterial small subunit ribosomal RNA", at positions 8 to 522 of the family's 1533-position model. The record is from RNAcentral.
AGAGUUUGAUCCUGGCUCAGAACGAACGCUGGCGGCGUGGAUUAGGCAUGCAAGUCGAACGCGAAAGAGGGGGUAACUCCUCGAGUAGAGUGGCGAACGGGUGAGUAACGCGUGAGAAACCUGCCUUCGACAGGGGGAUAACACUCCCAACGGGGUGCUAAUACCGCAUGAGACCACGGGUUCGCAUGGACCCGAGGUCAAAGGUGGCCUCUAUUUAUAAGCUACCGGUCGAAGAUGGUCUCGCGUCCCAUUAGCUAGUUGGCGGGGUAACGGCCCACCAAGGCGACGAUGGGUAGCUGGUCUGAGAGGAUGGUCAGCCACACUGGGACUGAGAUACGGCCCAGACUCCUACGGGAGGCAGCAGUCGAGAGGCUUCGGCAAUGGGGGAAACCCUGACCGAGCGACGCCGCGUGCAGGAUGAAGGCCCUUGGGUUGUAAACUGCUUUUGUCGGGAAAGAAACGCGAUCAGGUAAACAAUCUGGUCGCCUGACGGUACCCGGCGAAUAAGCUCCGGCUAACUCCGUGCCAGCAGCCGCGGUA